This 83-nucleotide small nucleolar RNA is filed under the name Echinops telfairi (small Madagascar hedgehog). RNAcentral describes it as "Small nucleolar RNA SNORA69 (ENSETEG00000023093.1)". It matches the Rfam family "Small nucleolar RNA SNORA69". Rfam says of the family: U69 is a member of the H/ACA class of small nucleolar RNAs (snoRNAs) which act as guides in the the modification of uridines to pseudouridines. The record is from RNAcentral. Lineage: Eukaryota; Metazoa; Chordata; Mammalia; Afrosoricida; Tenrecidae.
AAAGCAGGCUGCAAUUACAGUACUUCAGUUUGUGGAAGUACUGCCAUUAUCCUGCUGAGAGAAAAAGCCAUAUUGGCACAGGC